CACCAAAAUGCACAGGCUGUGAACUCGAAGAGUAGGGCGGGACACGUGGUAUCCUGUCUGAAUAUGGGGGGACCAUCCUCCAAGGCUAAAUACUCCUGACUGACCGAUAGUGAACCAGUACCGUGAGGGAAAGGCGAAAAGAACCCCGGCGAGGGGAGUGAAAAAGAACCUGAAACCGUGUACGUACAAGCAGUGGGAGCACCUUCGGGUGUGACUGCGUACCUUUUGUAUAAUGGGUCAGCGACUUAUAUUCUGUAGCAAGGUUAACCGUAUAGGGGAGCCGCAGGGAAACCGAGUCUUAACUGGGCGUUAAGUUGCAGGGUAUAGACCCGAAACCCGGUGAUCUAGCCAUGGGCAGGUUGAAGGUUGGGUAACACUAACUGGAGGACCGAACCGACUAAUGUUGAAAAAUUAGCGGAUGACUUGUGGCUGGGGGUGAAAGGCCAAUCAAACCGGGAGAUAGCUGGUUCUCCCCGAAAGCUAUUUAGGUAGCGCCUCGUGAACUCAUCUUCGGGGGUAGAGCACUGUUUCGGCUAGGGGGUCAUCCCGACUUACCAACCCGAUGCAAACUACGAAUACCGAAGAAUGUUAUCACGGGAGACACACGGCGGGUGCUAACGUCCGUCGUGAAGAGGGAAACAACCCAGACCGCCAGCUAAGGUCCCAAAGUCAUGGUUAAGUGGGAAACGAUGUGGGAAGGCACAGACAGCCAGGAUGUUGGCUUAGAAGCAGCCAUCAUUUAAAGAAAGCGUAAUAGCUCACUGGUCGAGUCGGCCUGCGCGGAAGAUGUAACGGGGCUAAACCAUGCACCGAAGCUGCGGCAGCGACACUAUGUGUUGUUGGGUAGGGGAGCGUUCUGUAAGCCUGCGAAGGUGACCUGUGAGGGUUGCUGGAGGUAUCAGAAGUGCGAAUGCUGACAUAAGUAACGAUAAAGCGGGUGAAAAGCCCGCUCGCCGGAAGACCAAGGGUUCCUGUCCAACGUUAAUCGGGGCAGGGUGAGUCGACCCCUAAGGCGAGGCCGAAAGGCGUAGUCGAUGGGAAACAGGUUAAUAUUCCUGUACUUGGUGUUACUGCGAAGGGGGGACGGAGAAGGCUAUGUUAGCCGGGCGACGGUUGUC
RNAcentral lists this ribosomal RNA (1118 nucleotides) under Klebsiella pneumoniae. RNAcentral describes it as "partial 23S ribosomal RNA". It matches the Rfam family "Bacterial large subunit ribosomal RNA", at positions 378 to 1506 of the family's 2925-position model. The record is from RNAcentral. Lineage: Bacteria; Pseudomonadati; Pseudomonadota; Gammaproteobacteria; Enterobacterales; Enterobacteriaceae.